GCUAGCGUUGUUCGGAAUUACUGGGCGUCAAGCGCACGUAGGCGGAUACUUAAGUCAGGGGUGAAAUCCCGGGGCUCAACCCCGGAACUGCCUUUGAUACUGGGUAUCUCGAGUCCGGAAGAGGUGAGUGGAAUUCCGAGUGUAGAGGUGAAAUUCGUAGAUAUUCGGAGGAACACCAGUGGCGAAGGCGGCUCACUGGUCCGGUACUGACGCUGAGGUGCGAAAGCGUGGGGAGCAAACAGG
This 243-nucleotide ribosomal RNA is filed under the name uncultured bacterium. RNAcentral describes it as "partial 16S ribosomal RNA". It matches the Rfam family "Bacterial small subunit ribosomal RNA", at positions 534 to 776 of the family's 1533-position model. The record is from RNAcentral.